Long non-coding RNA from Sycon ciliatum, 346 nucleotides. RefSeq lists it as uncharacterized. Lineage: Eukaryota; Metazoa; Porifera; Calcarea; Leucosolenida; Sycettidae. The record is from RefSeq and is a predicted model, not a curated record. The transcript has 3 exons.
AAGCAGCGCUCAUUUUCGCAAGGCAAACGAACCUUAUCGUGAUCCUUGUGCUACACCCAAUUGAUCUUGGAAUAUACACCAACAGCUGGGUUUUGUUGGCCGGAUUUGAAUUUACCAUUGUUAUUGGGAACAUUUCCCAGUGCUGGUUUUCAACAGUGUUGCAACCAGUAGAGACGAGCACUAUGGUGCUUCAGUUUAAGAUGUCAAUCCACACUGUACUGUCCUUGGUCAUCUGCUACUAUGUACUCACCGGUACUACAGUGAUGAGUUGUCCAGCAUCAUGUACGUGUGUUGGUGCACCUGUUUACCGUGUAGAUUGCUCCGCUCGCGGAUUAACAAUGGUGCC